CAAUGGGUGACUCGACAAGAACAUCAGCCCUCCUAUUGAUUUCCCAGGGUUGAUCUGGCUGACUAGGUGUUUGUCUUCUUCUUCCAUCACGACUCCACUGUGUUUCUCCCCAAACUGUAUCUUGGAAGAGGAUAGCCUUCCCUGAAUAUAAAUGGACCAUUUGAGGGUAUCUGAGUAGCUGUGGUCCCCUGCUAGAACCUCCAAACAAGCUCACAAAUGUUAGGCAUGAAAAAUAAUCUUGUCACUUUUUGAACCUGCAAUGAAUU
RNAcentral lists this small nuclear RNA (266 nucleotides) under Sorex araneus (European shrew). Its description in RNAcentral is "7SK RNA (ENSSARG00000018441.1)". It matches the Rfam family "7SK RNA". From Rfam's summary of the family: 7SK was discovered as an abundant small nuclear RNA in the mid-70s but a possible function has only recently been suggested. Lineage: Eukaryota; Metazoa; Chordata; Mammalia; Eulipotyphla; Soricidae. The record is from RNAcentral.